AAGAAAAAAACCAGAGCGCUUGACGAAAUGUCUAGAAUACCCUUCUUCCUCCGUUUUGCUACCAUCUUGUUCCUCUUCUCUUCCUCCUCCUCCGCCGAUGAACGUCUCCACUCUCGCCACUUACUCCACCAACCCUUCUUCCCUAUCACCACCGCCGCUCCACCACCGUAUCAACCAACACCGUCCUCCUCCGAACCCCCCUCGCCUUCCCCACGCUCCCACCACCACCACAAGAACCAUCCAGAGACGCCUCCACCUCACGAGAAACACCCUUUCUCCUCAGCCUCAAACCCUCCACCUCCUCCUCCGCCGUCUCCACCUCAUUCGAACACAUUCUUCCCCUCUUCAGACCCAUCCUCACCCACCUCUCACCCCCCACCAUCCCCACCCCCUCCUCCCCAUCGAGCUUCACUCCCUACUUUCCCCGCCAACAUCUCCUCCCAGUCCUCUCCCUCCUCUACCGAAGCUUCCGGUGUACACUCCCAAUUACAGAAGCACCGAGCUGUUGAACCCUAAAGGACAAGACUUUGACGGAGACGACAACGAAAACGACGAGUUUUACUCUCCGAGAGGUUCUCCGGGCCGUAAGCAGAGCCCGCCACGUGUCAAGAAACCUCCCAAGUCUUCUCUUAGUCCUAGUCUCUCGCUGAACAGCUCAAACGGCAGCGUUUCGAAGAAACCUGUUCCGACAAGACCACCUCCUCCUCCGCC
Molecule: long non-coding RNA, 711 nt
Filed under: Brassica napus (rape)
Lineage: Eukaryota; Viridiplantae; Streptophyta; Magnoliopsida; Brassicales; Brassicaceae
Description: long non-coding RNA (BNAP_LNC014848)
Source: RNAcentral